Molecule: ribosomal RNA, 1392 nt
Filed under: Salmonella enterica subsp. enterica
Lineage: Bacteria; Pseudomonadati; Pseudomonadota; Gammaproteobacteria; Enterobacterales; Enterobacteriaceae
Description: bacterial LSU rRNA
Rfam family: Bacterial large subunit ribosomal RNA
Source: RNAcentral
GGGUUGUGAGGUUAAGCGACUAAGCGUACACGGUGGAUGCCCUGGCAGUCAGAGGCGAUGAAGGGCGUGCUAAUCUGCGAUAAGCGCCGGUAAGGUGAUAUGAACCGUUAUAACCGGCGAUACCCGAAUGGGGAAACCCAGUGUGAUUCGUCACACUAUCAUUAACUGAAUCCAUAGGUUAAUGAGGCGAACCGGGGGAACUGAAACAUCUAAGUACCCCGAGGAAAAGAAAUCAACCGAGAUUCCCCCAGUAGCGGCGAGCGAACGGGGAGGAGCCCAGAGCCUGAAUCAGCAUGUGUGUUAGUGGAAGCGUCUGGAAAGGCGCGCGAUACAGGGUGACAGCCCCGUACACAAAAGCGCAUGUGCUGUGAGCUCGAUGAGUAGGGCGGGACACGUGGUAUCCUGUCUGAAUAUGGGGGGACCAUCCUCCAAGGCUAAAUACUCCUGACUGACCGAUAGUGAACCAGUACCGUGAGGGAAAGGCGAAAAGAACCCCGGCGAGGGGAGUGAAAAAGAACCUGAAACCGUGUACGUACAAGCAGUGGGAGCUGUGUGACUGCGUACCUUUUGUAUAAUGGGUCAGCGACUUAUAUUCUGUAGCAAGGUUAACCGAAUAGGGGAGCCGGAGGGAAACCGAGUCUUAAUUGGGCGUUAAGUUGCAGGGUAUAGACCCGAAACCCGGUGAUCUAGCCAUGGGCAGGUUGAAGGUUGGGUAACACUAACUGGAGGACCGAACCGACUAAUGUUGAAAAAUUAGCGGAUGACCUGUGGCUGGGGGUGAAAGGCCAAUCAAACCGGGAGAUAGCUGGUUCUCCCCGAAAGCUAUUUAGGUAGCGCCUCGUGAAUUCAUCUCCGGGGGUAGAGCACUGUUUCGGCUAGGGGGCCAUCCCGGCUUACCAACCCGAUGCAAACUGCGAAUACCGGAGAAUGUUAUCACGGGAGACACACGGCGGGUGCUAACGUCCGUCGUGAAGAGGGAAACAACCCAGACCGCCAGCUAAGGUCCCAAAGUCAUGGUUAAGUGGGAAACGAUGUGGGAAGGCCCAGACAGCCAGGAUGUUGGCUUAGAAGCAGCCAUCAUUUAAAGAAAGCGUAAUAGCUCACUGGUCGAGUCGGCCUGCGCGGAAGAUGUAACGGGGCUAAACCAUGCACCGAAGCUGCGGCAGCGACACUGUGUGUCGUUGGGUAGGGGAGCGUUCUGUAAGCCUGCGAAGGUGGCCUGUGAGGGUUGCUGGAGGUAUCAGAAGUGCGAAUGCUGACAUAAGUAACGAUAAAGCGGGUGAAAAGCCCGCUCGCCGGAAGACCAAGGGUUCCUGUCCAACGUUAAUCGGGGCAGGGUGAGUCGACCCCUAAGGCGAGGCCGAAAGGCGUAGUCGAUGGGAAACGGGUUAA